This 470-nucleotide ribosomal RNA is filed under the name uncultured bacterium. RNAcentral's name for it is "bacterial SSU rRNA". It matches the Rfam family "Bacterial small subunit ribosomal RNA", at positions 157 to 643 of the family's 1533-position model. The record is from RNAcentral.
GGAAGAUUAAUACCGCAUAAUAUGUUUUGGUCGCAUGAUCGAAACAUCAAAGGAGCAAUCCGCUUUGAGAUGGACCCGCGGCGCAUUAGCUAGUUGGUGAGGUAACGGCUCACCAAGGCGACGAUGCGUAGCCGACCUGAGAGGGUGAUCGGCCACAUUGGAACUGAGACACGGUCCAGACUCCUACGGGAGGCAGCAGUGGGGAAUAUUGCGCAAUGGGGGAAACCCUGACGCAGCAACGCCGCGUGAAUGAUGAAGGCCUUCGGGUUGUAAAGUUCUGUCUUCUGGGACGAUAAUGACGGUACCAGAGGAGGAAGCCACGGCUAACUACGUGCCAGCAGCCGCGGUAAUACGUAGGUGGCAAGCGUUGUCCGGAUUUACUGGGCGUAAAGGAUGCGUAGGCGGACAUUUAAGUCAGAUGUGAAAUACCCGAGCUUAACUUGGGUGCUGCAUUUGAAACUGGGUGUCUA